RNAcentral lists this ribosomal RNA (482 nucleotides) under uncultured bacterium. RNAcentral's name for it is "partial 16S ribosomal RNA". It matches the Rfam family "Bacterial small subunit ribosomal RNA", at positions 30 to 507 of the family's 1533-position model. The record is from RNAcentral.
UGAACGCUGGUGGCAGGCCUAACACAUGCAAGUCGAGCGGCAGCGGGUCCUUCGGGAUGCCGGCGAGCGGCGGACGGGUGAGGAAUGCGUCGGAAUCUGCCUUUUUGUGGGGGAUAACGUAGGGAAACUUACGCUAAUACCGCAUACGACCUACGGGUGAAAGUGGGGGACCGCAAGGCCUCACGCAGAAAGAUGAGCCGACGUCGGAUUAGCUAGUUGGCGGGGUAAAGGCCCACCAAGGCGACGAUCCGUAGCUGGUCUGAGAGGAUGAUCAGCCACACUGGAACUGAGACACGGUCCAGACUCCUACGGGAGGCAGCAGUGGGGAAUAUUGGACAAUGGGCGCAAGCCUGAUCCAGCCAUGCCGCGUGUGUGAAGAAGGCCUUCGGGUUGUAAAGCACUUUUGUCCGGAAAGAAAUCCUGUCGGCUAAUACCCGGCGGGGAUGACGGUACCGGAAGAAUAAGCACCGGCUAACUUCGUG